This 1418-nucleotide ribosomal RNA is filed under the name uncultured bacterium. Its description in RNAcentral is "16S ribosomal RNA". It matches the Rfam family "Bacterial small subunit ribosomal RNA". The record is from RNAcentral.
AGAGUUUGAUCCUGGCUCAGGACGAACGCUGGCGGCGUGCCUAAUACAUGCAAGUCGAGCGAGCUUGCCUAGAUGAUUUUAGUGCUUGCACUAAAUGAAACUAGAUACAAGCGAGCGGCGGACGGGUGAGUAACACGUGGGUAACCUGCCCAAGAGACUGGGAUAACACCUGGAAACAGAUGCUAAUACCGGAUAACAACACUAGACGCAUGUCUAGAGUUUGAAAGACGGUUCUGCUAUCACUCUUGGAUGGACCUGCGGUGCAUUAGCUAGUUGGUAAGGUAACGGCUUACCAAGGCAAUGAUGCAUAGCCGAGUUGAGAGACUGAUCGGCCACAUUGGGACUGAGACACGGCCCAAACUCCUACGGGAGGCAGCAGUAGGGAAUCUUCCACAAUGGACGAAAGUCUGAUGGAGCAACGCCGCGUGAGUGAAGAAGGGUUUCGGCUCGUAAAGCUCUGUUGGUAGUGAAGAAAGAUAGAGGUAGUAACUGGCCUUUAUUUGAUGGUAAUUACUUAGAAAGUCACGGCUAACUACGUGCCAGCAGCCGCGGUAAUACGUAGGUGGCAAGCGUUGUCCGGAUUUAUUGGGCGUAAAGCGAGUGCAGGCGGUUCAAUAAGUCUGAUGUGAAAGCCUUCGGCUCAACCGGAGAAUUGCAUCAGAAACUGUUGAACUUGAGUGCAGAGGAGGAGAGUGGAACUCCAUGUGUAGCGGUGGAAUGCGUAGAUAUAUGGAAGAACACCAGUGGCGAAGGCGGCUCUCUGGUCUGCAACUGACGCUGAGGCUCGAAAGCAUGGGUAGCGAACAGGAUUAGAUACCCUGGUAGUCCAUGCCGUAAACGAUGAGUGGUAAGUGUAGGGAGGUUUCCGCCUCUCAGUGCUGCAGCUAACGCAUUAAGCACUCCGCCUGGGGAGUACGACCGCAAGGUUGAAACUCAAAGGAAUUAACGGGGGCCCGCACAAGCGGUGGAGCAUGUGGUUUAAUUCGAAGCAACGCGAAGAACCUUACCAGGUCUUGACAUCCAGUGCAAACCUAAGAGAUUAGGUGUUCCCUUCGGGGACGCUGAGACAGGUGGUGCAUGGCUGUCGUCAGCUCGUGUCGUGAGAUGUUGGGUUAAGUCCCGCAACGAGCGCAACCCUUGUCAUUAGUUGCCAUCAUUAAGUUGGGCACUCUAAUGAGACUGCCGGUGACAAACCGGAGGAAGGUGGGGAUGACGUCAAGUCAUCAUGCCCCUUAUGACCUGGGCUACACACGUGCUACAAUGGACGGUACAACGAGAAGCGAACCUGCGAAGGCAAGCGGAUCUCUUAAAGCCGAUCUCAGUUCGGACUGUAGGCUGCAACUCGCCUACACGAAGCUGGGAUCGCUAGUAAUCGCGGAUCAGCACGCCGCGGUGAAUACGUUCCCGGGCCUUGUACA